AUAUCCGAUAGAUGGAAGCGCCUGGAAUGGUCUUCCGUCGAAAAGUUCUUGGGAACAUGCUUCCGAGAGCGCCUAAGGAUGAGACUGCGGCCGAUCAGGCUGUUGGUGGGGUAACGGCCCACCAAACCUAUAACCGGUACGGGCCCUGAAAGGGGGAGCCCGGAGAUGGGAACUGAGACAAGGUCCCAGGCCCUACGGGGCGCAGCAGGCGCGAAACCUCCGCAAUGCGCGAAAGCGUGACGGGGUUACCCCGAGUGCCGUCCGUUGAGGAUGGCUUUUCCUUAGUGUAAGGAGCUGGGGGAAUAAAGGGGGGGCAAGUCUGGUGUCAGCCGCCGCGGUAAUACCAGCCCCCUGAGUGAUAGGGACGAUUAUUUAGCCUAAAGCAUCCGUAGCCGGUUUAGCAAGUCUUUCGUUAAAUCUGACGACUUAAUCGCCAGGCCGCGGAAGAUACUGCUAGACUAGAGGGCGGGAGAGGUUGACGGUAGUCCCGGAGUAGGGGUGAAAUCCUAUAAUCCCGGGAGGACCACCAGUGGCGAAGGCGGUCAACUAGAACGCGCCUGACGGUGAUGGACGAAAGCUGGGGGAGCGAACCGGAUUAGACACCCGGGUAGUCCCAG
RNAcentral lists this ribosomal RNA (617 nucleotides) under uncultured archaeon. RNAcentral's name for it is "bacterial SSU rRNA". It matches the Rfam family "Archaeal small subunit ribosomal RNA", at positions 149 to 750 of the family's 1478-position model. The record is from RNAcentral.